RNAcentral lists this non-coding RNA (429 nucleotides) under Cryptosporidium parvum. Lineage: Eukaryota; Apicomplexa; Conoidasida; Eucoccidiorida; Cryptosporidiidae. The record is from RNAcentral.
GCUUUUUUUAGACUCUUAAUAAUAAUUUGAUGAAUUGUUCUAGAAGUUUUUUGUGGAAUUUCUGGAUCAUGUGAAACAAUAUGUACUGGCCAGUUCGUUGCAUUAUUUACAGUAUUGGAAAUGAUUUCAUCUUGAAGUUUUUGCAAAAAAUCUAUUUUUUCAGGGUUUACUCGGGUUUUUUUCAAAUCUGCCUUAAGUAAAAUUGGUAUAAAGAGUAAGCUAAUCGAAUCUUCAUUUUUUCUUGGAAGAAAGUAAAGUGGAAAAGAAUGAUUUACGGAAUCAUCUUCCAUUUCGUUAAUUAGAAUUGGGGCAGGAAAAAGACCACCAGAGUGAAGCUCAAAAAUAUAUGGCAAAAAUAGAUUGUGGCCGGACAAAAUGAUAGAUUUUCCUUGUUUUAUUGCCUUUUCAAUAUCAACUUGAAUACCUUUA